RNAcentral lists this long non-coding RNA (207 nucleotides) under Salvia miltiorrhiza (redroot sage). RNAcentral describes it as "long non-coding RNA (SMIL_LNC003041)". The record is from RNAcentral. Lineage: Eukaryota; Viridiplantae; Streptophyta; Magnoliopsida; Lamiales; Lamiaceae.
UAACCAACUUCAUGGAAGAUUUUGCCCCAAACGAGAUGCUUUGAGUAUUUGCAAAGUUCGGAGUCUAUUGUCAUUAUUUCUUUCAGUCUUGACAUCUCCAUCAGCCCGACUAAAGACCAUCCUCAGAGAGUUCAUCCAAAAAUCUGGCAGCAGCCCAUCUAAGACUUUAUUUGAGUGAUGUUUACUUUGCACUUCAGGUGGCUCAAU